This 626-nucleotide ribosomal RNA is filed under the name uncultured Sporichthya sp. RNAcentral describes it as "bacterial SSU rRNA". It matches the Rfam family "Bacterial small subunit ribosomal RNA", at positions 338 to 974 of the family's 1533-position model. Lineage: Bacteria; Bacillati; Actinomycetota; Actinomycetes; Sporichthyales; Sporichthyaceae. The record is from RNAcentral.
CCUACGGGAGGCAGCAGUGGGGAAUAUUGCACAAUGGGCGAAAGCCUGAUGCAGCGACGCCGCGUGAGGGAUGACGGCCUUCGGGUUGUAAACCUCUUUCAGCAGGGACGAAGCGAAAGUGACGGUACCUGCAGAAGAAGCGCCGGCCAACUACGUGCCAGCAGCCGCGGUAAUACGUAGGGCGCAAGCGUUGUCCGGAAUUAUUGGGCGUAAAGAGCUCGUAGGCGGUUUAUCACGUCGGCUGUGAAAUCCCGAGGCUUAACCUCGGGCCUGCAGUCGAUACGGGUUGACUAGAGUGAAGCAGGGGAGACUGGAAUUCCUGGUGUAGCGGUGAAAUGCGCAGAUAUCAGGAGGAACACCGGUGGCGAAGGCGGGUCUCUGGGCUUUAACUGACGCUGAGGAGCGAAAGCGUGGGUAGCAAACAGGAUUAGAUACCCUGGUAGUCCACGCCGUAAACGGUGGGCGCUAGGUGUGGGGACCAUUCCACGGUUUCCGUGCCGCAGCUAACGCAUUAAGCGCCCCGCCUGGGGAGUACGGCCGCAAGGCUAAAACUCAAAGGAAUUGACGGGGGCCCGCACAAGCGGCGGAGUAUGUUGCUUAAUUCGAUGCAACGCGAAGAACCUUAC